AACGCUUCACAUCUCUCAAAAUCUAAAAAUCCCUUUUCUAUAGAUUCUAAACCCUAGAAACUCUGAAACACUCUAAAAUUCUGCCGCAACUCUUUAAGUUUGAGUUUUCCCUUCUCGUUUGGAAGCUUAGUCCUUGGUUAAGACUGAAGAUGCUCGACUUUCUCGAUGCAGGCGUUCUGGUUUUGGUUUUAAUCUGUUGAGCGGAAAUGGAACCGUCACAUAAGAUGUCUGAGCUAUUGUAAUGGAAGAAGCUGAUUUUCAAUCUACAUAUCCCACAAUUUGGAGUUUAUCUGUGAUAUCUCACUAUAUUAGACGUUAUUGGAUAGAGGGGGAGCAGAAGAAAGAUGAGGUAGUAAUCAGAUUGUACUAUAUUUACUGGUUAAUGAUUACCAAUUAUCUUCCACUUUUACAUGGCCGGAUCGUACUACAGUUGUUGGAUUUGCUGGUCAAGUUGUACAUUACAGAUGUAUAGUCUCAAACUUUGCAAUGUUGGCCAUUACUACAUUCACCAAAGUAUCUUCUGCAAAUAGAAUACAAGGGAUGGUAAACUUGCUAAGCUGUAGGCUUAAAAGUUGAGAGUUUGGUGUUUUCUCAAAACAAAAUCUGUUAAUAAUCUAUUUGGUUUUGAUUACGGAAUUGAUUUGUACAUAUGCGUUCACACAUAUGUAUGGUUCUUGUAUACGCUUGCACUUAAUGAGUUUGAACGUUUUUUCAAGUGGGUUAUAUCUCUGUUAGAUUUGAAUUAUUUUGACAGAAAAUCUAUUAAACCUAUUUCGCCAUGGUAGCAUCUCUAAUAAGAAUCUA
Nicotiana tabacum (common tobacco) is the source of this 804-nucleotide long non-coding RNA. RefSeq lists it as uncharacterized. The record is from RefSeq and is a predicted model, not a curated record. Lineage: Eukaryota; Viridiplantae; Streptophyta; Magnoliopsida; Solanales; Solanaceae.